Molecule: ribosomal RNA, 602 nt
Filed under: uncultured bacterium
Lineage: Bacteria
Description: bacterial SSU rRNA
Rfam family: Bacterial small subunit ribosomal RNA
Source: RNAcentral
CCUACGGGAGGCAGCAGUGGGGAAUAUUGCACAAUGGGCGCAAGCCUGAUGCAGCAACGCCGCGUGAGGGACGACGGCCUUCGGGUUGUAAACCUCUUUUAGUAGGGAAGAAGCGAAAGUGACGGUACCUGCAGAAAAAAGCACCGGCUAACUACGUGCCAGCAGCCGCGGUAAUACGUAGGGUGCAAGCGUUAUCCGGAAUUAUUGGGCGUAAAGAGCUCGUAGGCGGUUUGUCGCGUCUGCUGUGAAAAACUGGAGGCUCAACCUCCAGCCUGCAGUGGGUACGGGCAAACUAGAGUGCGGUAGGGGAGAUUGGAAUUCCUGGUGUAGCGGUGGAAUGCGCAGAUAUCAGGAGGAACACCGAUGGCGAAGGCAGAUCUCUGGGCCGUAAACUGACGCUGAGGAGCGAAAGCAUGGGGAGCGAACAGGAUUAGAUACCCUGGUAGUCCAUGCCGUAAACGUUGGGCGCUAGAUGUGGGGACCAUUCCACGGUUUCCGUGUCGCAGCUAACGCAUUAAGCGCCCGCCUGGGGAGUACGGCCGCAAGGCUAAAACUCAAAUGAUUAGUAGNGUUGAGAGNGCGACGACGACGACGAGGAGAGG